RNAcentral lists this microRNA precursor (96 nucleotides) under Nicotiana attenuata. RNAcentral's name for it is "MIR6152 microRNA precursor family". It matches the Rfam family "MIR6152 microRNA precursor family". Lineage: Eukaryota; Viridiplantae; Streptophyta; Magnoliopsida; Solanales; Solanaceae. The record is from Rfam by way of RNAcentral.
UGGACAAAUUAUUGUAUUCGACUGUAUUCACGGCGUGAAACAGGGGAUUACACUAUUUUUAAACGGAAGGUGAAUCACUUAACAUAAUAGACUCCU